UGGGGAAUCUUGCACAAUGGGCGAAAGCCUGAUGCAGCGAUUCCGCGUGGAGGAUGACGCAUUACGGUGUGUAAACUCCUUUUUUGGUGGAAGACGAAUGACGGUACACCAAGAAUAAGGGACGGCUAACUACGUGCCAGCAGCCGCGGUAAUACGUAGGUCCCAAGCGUUAUCCGGAUUUACUGGGCGUAAAGUGUCCGUAGCCGGAUAUAUAAGUCUGUUUUCAAAUACCACGACUCAAUCGUGGAAAGGGAAUAGAUACUGUAUAUCUAGAGAAUAUUGGAGGUUAGUGGAAUUUCCGGUGGAGCGGUGAAAUGUGUUGAUAUCGGAAAGAACGCCGAAAGCGAAAG
RNAcentral lists this ribosomal RNA (350 nucleotides) under uncultured bacterium. RNAcentral describes it as "bacterial SSU rRNA". It matches the Rfam family "Bacterial small subunit ribosomal RNA", at positions 355 to 721 of the family's 1533-position model. The record is from RNAcentral.